CGGCAAUUCAAGGAAGCGAAACGGUCCUUUCAAAGUAGUGGAAGAAAUUUCCAGAUCUCUAUAAAACUAGAAGGAAAUUUAUAAAUCCAAGCUUUAAGAUCCAAAAUUGAAUUAAAGGUUUUAGGAAUUUCGUUCUUGGAUUGAUUUCUUUUGCUCUAGGUUUCAAAACCCGGAAAGGUUUUUACUGUAAUUUCUUUUUUAGGGUUUCUGGCAGGGAGAAUGAACGAUCAAUCGCAGAUGAUGAAUCCAGCGCAGAUGAUGAGCCAGGCGCAGAUGAUGAGUCAACCUCAGGUAAUGAAUCCGGUUCAGCCUCAGAUUUUGAGUCAGAAUCCGGCGGUUUUGGUUCAAUCGCAGGCCAUGAGCCAACCUCCUCCCCAGGUGUUGACCCCGGUUCAGUCUCAGUCUCAGAUGAUGAGUCAUGUUGGAGCAAUGAACCAGCAGCAACCUCCGAUGAUGAUGAGGAUGAAUCAGAGAAGCUACAAGCCAUGGCCACCUCAGCAACAGUCUUCAAUGGAAGCGAACAAGUUCCAGAAUCAACAAAACCCUUCGAAGUUCAAUAGUAACAUUAAUAAUAACUUUGUCCCUUCAAAGCCCAGAAGCAGCACGAAUUGGAAGGGCAAAAACAUCAACAACAAAGACCAGAGAAGAAUGGACAAGCCCAUGUCUAAUAAACCCAUCAUCUCCAACGCUGCCUUGGCUGCCGCGGGACCUAGUGGUAGCGGUGGUUAUAAGCCCCCUAGCCUAAAUGAACUCCAAACCCAAAACCGGAUGAAAGCUCGAAAAUACUAUCACCCAAAGAAAAAGUUCAACAACCGAUUUGCCCCAUAUGCACCUCGAAACACAACGUCUUUUAUUAUCCGUGCAAAAAAAGCUGGAGGAAUCGCAUCCUUAGUGUCCCCUUGUCCGGUGACCCCUGCUGUUUUGCCCACUCCGAUAUUCUCGCCGUCGAGAGAGGUAUUAGGUGACAUGGCAAAGGAAGAGUGGGGUGUUGAUGGAUAUGGUUCUAUGAAGGGUCUGAUUAGACUGAGAUCACCUGGAAAUGAAGCGGAGGUUCAUGAUGAGGAGGAUGAAGAUGAGGGCAAUGGGUCGAGUGAGAGUGAUGUGGAAGAACAUGUGGAGGUGGAAAGGAGAUUGGACCAUGAUUUGAGUAGGUUUGAGAUGAUUUACCCGACUUAUGGAGGUGGGGACUAUAGUUACAAUAACAUCUUGGAGAAUAGGGUGGAUGAUCAAGAUACCCAUAUAGCACAAUUGGAAGAAGAGAACUUGACAUUGAAAGAGAGGUUGUUUCUGAUGGAGAGAGAGUUGGGGGAUUUGAGGAGGAGGUUGCAGUUCUUAGAGAGGCAGCAAGGUCAGGGAAUCAGUGUUAUGCCUGUCCCUGUGGAAGAUAUUAAUGAGGAGGUUGUUGAAAAUGUUUAUGAGAAUGAUGAAAAUGAGAAUGAGAGUGAUGGAGGAUCGGAUGUUGGUGGAACUGGAAAUGAUAAUAAUGACGAGAUGGAGUAUGUGGGUGGAAAUGGGGAAAGGAGGACUAUUCCAAAUGAUGUCAAGGGGAGCCAUGAUGUUUGUAUGGAAGAGACUGUGUCGUAUAAUGACGAAAUUGGGAAGGAUGCGGUGAAGAAUAAAAUUUCGAGAAGUGAGCUUGUGGUUAGAAAUGAAGUGAUUGAGAAGGAUGAUGAGGCAAAAGGUGAGGAAGUGGGGAGUGAUGUUGUAAUGGAAAAAUUGAUUGCGAAGGAGGAGGAGUUGUCUAAGGGUGAUGGUUUUGUUAAUGAGAUUGUGCAGGACGUGCUGGCUGAAGAAUCCAACUUAGGGAAGAGCAUUGGCAGCGGUGACUAAUCUAGUUGUCCCGUGUUAAUUUGUGAGCAUGAAGAGCCUCUCCAGAAUAGAGGUUAGUGGUUUUAAUCAGUCUGAUUGUAUGAAUGAUUUUAGUGUUAAAGUGCAGAUCUAUUAUGUCCUUUUUCUAGAUAUGAACUGAGGUAGGAAACCAACAAUUGGAGUCUAAUGAACAUUGUCAUUUGUGAACAAGGACAAGAGGUAUUUGGCUGCCUAAACUGUUUUAACAUUUACCAUUGCAAUAAAUAUGUCUCUAAUAGAUGUCAAUUAUUUACUUUACAACUUUUGUUUGGGACAUCUAUCAGUUUAUUAUGGCAUGCAAUGUACUCUGAAGAAGUCUGAAUUAUAUUGGAGGGUGGAGCUACUCAAUAGCAAAUAGGAAAAUGAUUAGCCAGAAGGGGAUUGGUACACAUUUUUGUGAAGCUCUCAGUAAAAGUGACUCCCAAGCAUAAUUGUUCAUCAAAAUUGCACUUCAUUAUCAUUAAUGGUAAUGUAGUAUUGUCGAUUCCUCUUUUAUUUUUUCAGUUUCUUUAAGAACUCAUAAGUUUUGUGGCUUCACAUAUGAUGCUAAUAGUUAAUUAUCAUCUCUAACAAAUGGAAGGAAUUUGGCUUAUAAAACAUGUGUUAUUGGACUUGAUAUUUGUACUAUUGAAAUCUGACGAGUGCUUGUGAUGUUUGAUGUAUCAAAAAAGUCUGUAACUAUCAGUAGUUUUGUGUUUGGGCACUGCAUUAUUUUGAGUCCUUUUGUCAAUUUACUAUCAGUAGUUUUGUGUCUGUAACUAUCAAAAAAGUCUGCUUGGACUUAGCAGACAUCAGUCCCUUUGAGUCCUUUUCUCAACUGGUUGCAACAUGGAUAGAGAUGGGUGGUUGGUCUAGCAUAGGAAAAACACAACUUCUUUCCCCAAAUAAUGUUUUUAGCAUCCUAAUUUUUUCUUCAUGCAGUUGGAAAUUUUCUUGCUCAUCAGAAAAAGUACUUCGAAAAGGAAGGCAAGAGGAAGAGAUGAUGUUUGCUAGUCACCUGAACUUACCACAAUAUAUUUUUGCUUAAUCAGGACUUGUGGAGAUAAAUGAGAUUAAAGCCUUUAGAAAGAAGUUUUGAAACUAGUUAGGAUUUUUUUUCUUAUUAGAAAUAUUUCAUAUGUGUUCUUAGACAAUCGGUUCUCUUGCUUCCAUUCGAAUUGUUUUUUGCCUGGAGCUAUGUAGAUAAGAUUCCAAAUUUUUUCCUGAUAUUUCUCCUUGUUCAAACUAUGCCACUUUGACACAUUUAUAACCAUUUUGUUUGCAAUUCUCCCUCUCCUUCGAUUAGUCUUUUUAGCACCCAUAAUUUUCCCAAGAACUGAUUCUUCAUCUUCAUCACCUUCUAAGAAAUUAUGUUUUCUUCCGUGCUUUUUAUUUUAUUUUCACAUAGUAAUGCUAGUUACAUUUUGUGUAAUGCAAUGCAUUUUGGCUUUUGGUCCUAGACUUGGUUACUUGGGACAGAUCAAGCACCUACUCACACUAGAUACCUGUACUACCAAGGAACAGAGGAUUGUUAAAAUAGUGUAGGAAUGGCUAGUAUGGGGCUAUGCCAUCAAUGUUACUGCUAUAUGAAUUUUGAUGGUUUCAGUUGAUGAUGAUAAGGUGCAACCUGUAGCUAAACUAGUGUCUAAUCUGGAGAGCUAUAGUGUUCUUCUGGCACAUAAAUAGGGGUAUUUGCAUGGAUAUAUUGUUCACAUUCAGGUUUUAUAGAUGGGUAUAUCCAUUUAUAAAUCAUCUGGUUUAUGAAAUUGGCAGUGAAUCCGCAAACAAUCGUUGCUUGAUGAAGACUCCUCUGACUUUUACAGGCAACCUCUCUCUUAAUGGUGUACGGAGUGUACAUAUUUUCCAAGUAGGCGAACAUUCUGAUCCAAGUCAAGUGUGUUCAAUCUUGGUUCUGAGCUUGAACUGACAUGAAUGGAAUUUCUUCUCUCACCUUGUUUCCCUUUUAUGAGUGCUUGAGUUUUACUCAACUUGGUGGAAUCUUGAAGGGGCAAGGAGAACACGUGAAAUCUCAGCCAUCACAUGUGUAAGUCGCAUUGCAAAUCUCAGCUGACUCGGCAGUGCCAUCCAUUUGUCAGUCGCAUUGCUUUGCAAUCUUCAUUUUGUCUUGUGAACUUUGUUCAUGUGUCCUGCACAUGUUAUGGGCAAGCUAUCAUGAUUUCAAAUGGGUUUUGUAAUGAAUGGAGGUGGGAUGGUUGACUGUGAUGAGAUGAGCUGAUUGCGAUAGGUAGGGCAGUUAAUAUGUUACAAUUAGGGGUUUUAGUAUAAAAUAUAAAUAGGAGAGAAGCACUUGCAAUGGGUCCGUAUUCCAAAUUUAAUAAACAAUGCAAAUUCUCUCUUCUUCAUACGUUGGCAGCUGCAAUUUAUAGACUUUUAAUGUACUUGCACAUAUAUAUAUUAUAAUUCUUGUGUUAUAUA
Manihot esculenta (cassava) is the source of this 4263-nucleotide RNA transcript. RefSeq lists it as uncharacterized. The transcript is spliced from 4 exons. NCBI's taxonomy places the organism in Eukaryota, Viridiplantae, Streptophyta, Magnoliopsida, Malpighiales, Euphorbiaceae. The record is from RefSeq and is a predicted model, not a curated record.